This 509-nucleotide ribosomal RNA is filed under the name uncultured bacterium. Its description in RNAcentral is "bacterial SSU rRNA". It matches the Rfam family "Bacterial small subunit ribosomal RNA", at positions 8 to 489 of the family's 1533-position model. The record is from RNAcentral.
AGAGUUUGAUCCUGGCUCAGGACGAACGCUGGCGGCGUGCCUAAUACAUGCAAGUCGAACGCAUUUUCUUUCACCGUAGCUUGCUACACCGAAAGAAAGUGAGUGGCGAACGGGUGAGUAACACGUGGGUAACCUGCCCAUCAGCGGGGGAUAACACUUGGAAACAGGUGCUAAUACCGCAUAAUUCCGUUUACCGCAUGGUAGAUGGAUGAAAGGCGCUUUUGCGUCACUGAUGGAUGGACCCGCGGUGCAUUAGCUAGUUGGUGGGGUAACGGCCUACCAAGGCUGCGAUGCAUAGCCGACCUGAGAGGGUGAUCGGCCACACUGGGACUGAGACACGGCCCAGACUCCUACGGGAGGCAGCAGUAGGGAAUCUUCGGCAAUGGACGCAAGUCUGACCGAGCAACGCCGCGUGAGUGAAGAAGGUUUUCGGAUCGUAAAACUCUGUUGUUAGAGAAGAACAAGGAUGAGUGUGGAAAGUUCAUCCCUUGACGGUAUCUAACCAGAAA